Pelobates cultripes (western spadefoot toad) is the source of this 236-nucleotide non-coding RNA. The record is from the annotation of a GenBank genome assembly. NCBI's taxonomy places the organism in Eukaryota, Metazoa, Chordata, Amphibia, Anura, Pelobatidae.
CAGACGAUCAGUCCUCUAUAAAUGCUGGCAAACCUCGAUUUCUGGAAAUUACCAUAUUUUCUUGUUUCUUUUAGCGUGACUUGGUUGAAAGAAGUCUCUGAAGCACAGGCAUAGUUCCGGUUCAUUUGUUUGUCCGUUCCUUGUUCGGAGUUGAUUUAUUCUUCGGGAUUCGCCAGAAAGAGGAAAUUGUCAUCAAUGCUCCGCCUACUAUAGGAGAAGGAUGUCACUGAUUGGAG